GGAGUCGGUUACGUCCCGUCCUCCGGGCCGGCGACCAUCGCUCUUGCUUUCCGAGAACUUUGAUACAAAUAUCGUGGGAUUGUUUCCCUCAGACGCGUUCAAUGUACGCGAGGGCGCCCGCGGUUUUACUGUGACUAAAUGAGCGCGACCAAAGCAGUCGUAUGACAUGAAUUUGAAAGCAUGGGAUAACAAAGUAGCAGCCUACGGGUUUCCGUUUCGGCUUUUGUUGGUUUUAAAGAUCUGUGGGAGAUUAUGGACUCGCAUGACCGGUCUUACGACCUUCCGGCGCUUGGGUUAUCCAAUCUUGUUUCGGCUUGCGUUGUCCAGGAAUGAAGGAGGGUUGUUCGGGGGAGAACGUACUUGGGCGUGAGAGGUGAAAUUCUUAGACCGCCCAAAGACGAACUACAGCGAAGGCAUUCUCCAAGGAUACCUUCCUCAAUCAAGAACCAAAGUGUGGAGAUCGAAGAUGAUUAGAGACCAUUGUAGUCCACACCACAAACGGUGACCCCCACGAAUUGGGGAGUAUUUGGUUGCGGAGAUCCAAGCUCGCUUGCUGAUCCCGCCAAAAGAGAAUA
Molecule: ribosomal RNA, 575 nt
Filed under: uncultured eukaryote
Lineage: Eukaryota
Description: bacterial SSU rRNA
Rfam family: Eukaryotic small subunit ribosomal RNA
Source: RNAcentral